GCCACGGUGGCCUAGUGGUUAGAACGUCAGCCUCAGAUGCUGGAGGUCACCGGUUCGAACCCCGGCCAAGUCA
Molecule: non-coding RNA, 73 nt
Organism: Potamilus streckersoni
Lineage: Eukaryota; Metazoa; Mollusca; Bivalvia; Unionida; Unionidae
Source: the annotation of a GenBank genome assembly